GACGAACGCUGGCGGCAUGCCUAAUACAUGCAAGUCGAGCGAACAGAUGAAGUGCUUGCACUUCUGACGUUAGCGGCGAACGGGUGAGUAACACGUAAGGAAUCUACCUAUAAGCGGGAGAUAACAUUCGGAAACGGGUGCUAAUACCGCAUAAUAUCUUCUUCCGCAUGGAAGAAUAUUGAAAGACGGCUCUGCUGUCACUUAUAGAUGACCUUGCGGUGCAUUAGUUAGUUGGUGGGGUAACGGCCUACCAAGACGAUGGUGCAGAGCCGACCUGAGAGGGUGAUCGGCCACAUUGGGACUGAGACACGGCCCAAACUCCUACGGGAGGCAGCAGUAGGGAAUCUUCCGCAAUGGGCGAAAGCCUGACGGAGCAAUGCCGCGUGAGUGAAGAAGGCCUUCGGGUCGUAAAACUCUGUUAUAAGAGAAGAACAAAUUGUAGAGUAACUGCUACAGUCUUGACGGUAUCUUAUCAGAAAGCCACGGCUAACUACGUGCCAGCAGCCGCAGUAA
RNAcentral lists this ribosomal RNA (513 nucleotides) under uncultured bacterium. Its description in RNAcentral is "partial 16S ribosomal RNA". It matches the Rfam family "Bacterial small subunit ribosomal RNA", at positions 28 to 523 of the family's 1533-position model. The record is from RNAcentral.